RNAcentral lists this ribosomal RNA (484 nucleotides) under uncultured bacterium. RNAcentral describes it as "partial 16S ribosomal RNA". It matches the Rfam family "Bacterial small subunit ribosomal RNA", at positions 30 to 507 of the family's 1533-position model. The record is from RNAcentral.
AUUGAACGCUGGCGGCAGGCCUAACACAUGCAAGUCGAGCGGAUGAAGGGAGCUUGCUCCUGGAUUCAGCGGCGGACGGGUGAGUAAUGCCUAGGAAUCUGCCUGGUAGUGGGGGAUAACGUCCGGAAACGGGCGCUAAUACCGCAUACGUCCUGAGGGAGAAAGUGGGGGAUCUUCGGACCUCACGCUAUCAGAUGAGCCUAGGUCGGAUUAGCUAGUUGGUGGGGUAAAGGCCUACCAAGGCGACGAUCCGUAACUGGUCUGAGAGGAUGAUCAGUCACACUGGAACUGAGACACGGUCCAGACUCCUACGGGAGGCAGCAGUGGGGAAUAUUGGACAAAGGGCGAAAGCCUGAUCCAGCCAUGCCGCGUGUGUGAAGAAGGUCUUCGGAUUGUAAAGCACUUUAAGUUGGGAGGAAGGGCAGUAAGUUAAAACCUUGCUGUUUUGACGUUACCAACAGAAUAAGCACCGGCUAACUUCGUG